Molecule: ribosomal RNA, 697 nt
Filed under: uncultured Methanosaeta sp.
Lineage: Archaea; Methanobacteriati; Methanobacteriota; Methanomicrobia; Methanotrichales; Methanotrichaceae
Description: bacterial SSU rRNA
Rfam family: Archaeal small subunit ribosomal RNA
Source: RNAcentral
UCUGGUUGAUCCCGGCGGAGGUUACUGCUAUCGAGGUUCGACUAAGCCAUGCGAGUCGAAUGUAGCAAUACAUGGCGUACUGCUCAGUAACACGUGGACAACCUACCCUUAGGUCGGGGAUAAACCCGGGAAACUGGGUAUAAUACCCGAUAGUCCUCGAAUGCUGGAAUGCAUCGAGGUCUAAAGCUCCGGCGCCUAAGGAUGGGUCUGCGGCCUAUCAGGUAGUAGUGGGUGUAGCGUACCUACUAGCCUACGACGGGUACGGGUUGUGAGAGCAAGAGCCCGGAGAUGGAUUCUGAGACACGAAUCCAGGCCCUACGGGGUGCAGCAGGCGCGAAAACUUUACAAUGCUGGCAACAGCGAUAAGGGGACCUCGAGUGCCAGGUUACAAAUCUGGCUGUCGUGAUGCCUAAGAAGCAUUGCAUAGCAAGGGCCGGGCAAGACCGGUGCCAGCCGCCGCGGUAACACCGGCGGCUCGAGUGGUAACCGUCAUUAUUGGGUCUAAAGGGUCUGUAGCCGGCCGGAUAAGUCUCUUGGGAAAUCUGGCAGCUUAACUGUCAGGCUUUCAGGAGAUACUGUCUGGCUCGAGGCCGGGAGAGGUGAGUGGUACUUCAGGGGUAGGGGUGAAAUCUUGUAAUCCUUGAAGGACCACCAGUGGCGAAGGCGUCUUACCAGAACGGACCUGACGGCAAGGGAC